Molecule: ribosomal RNA, 427 nt
Filed under: uncultured bacterium
Lineage: Bacteria
Description: bacterial SSU rRNA
Rfam family: Bacterial small subunit ribosomal RNA
Source: RNAcentral
UGGGGAAUUUUGGACAAUGGGCGCAAGCCUGAUCCAGCAAUGCCGCGUGCAGGAUGAAGGCCUUCGGGUUGUAAACUGCUUUUGUACGGAACGAAAAAGCUCUCUCUAAUACAGGGGGUGAAUGACGGUACCGUAAGAAUAAGCACCGGCUAACUACGUGCCAGCAGCCGCGGUAAUACGUAGGGUGCAAGCGUUACUCGGAAUUACUGGGCGUAAAGCGUGCGUAGGUGGUUGUUUAAGUCUGAUGUGAAAGCCCUGGGCUCAACCUGGGAAUGGCAUUGGAAACUGGGCAGCUAGAGUGCGGUAGAGGGUAGUGGAAUUCCCGGUGUAGCAGAGAAAUGCGUAGAGAUCGGGAGGAACAUCUGUGGCGAAGGCGACUGCCUGGACCAGCACUGACACUGAGGCACGAAAGCGUGGGGAGCAAACA